ACCACUGUGACCUUUUACACCGCUGUGUCCUGUUACACCACUGUGACCUAUUACACCACUGUCACCUGUUACACCGCUGUGAUCUGUUACACCGCUGUGUCCAGUUACACCACUGUGACCUGUUACACCACUGUGUCCUGUUACACCACUGUGACCUGUUACACCACUGUGACCUGUUACACCACUAACCUGUUACACCACUGUGAUCGGGGUCUGAGACAUUUGCACUGGCGAGCGGCGUUCUUGCCAACUAUAUGGCUGUUAAGUUGAAAAUUGUAACUGUUAAGAGCAUUCUAUUGUGGUUUUAAUAUUGAACAAUU
Molecule: long non-coding RNA, 320 nt
Organism: Procambarus clarkii (red swamp crayfish)
Lineage: Eukaryota; Metazoa; Arthropoda; Malacostraca; Decapoda; Cambaridae
Source: RefSeq, a predicted model, not a curated record